UUUCAGUUUUAGUUAUAUGUCCUCUAUUACUUGUCUUUUGCAAAUAAAUUGUUUUUACCUUUGUGGAAUCCUGCGGGAAUAUUUCAAUCACCAGUACAUGCCAAAACUUGUUAGUGGAGGAAGAAAAAAGAAAAACAAAAGAAAGAGAAAGAAAAAAAAGUAAGGGAAAGAUGGAAAAAAAGAAGAGGAUCAAUCAUACUGCACGCAUAACAUAUUGCAUACAUCAUGCAUAUCAUAACAUUUCCAUCG
This 249-nucleotide long non-coding RNA is filed under the name Lathyrus oleraceus (garden pea). Its description in RNAcentral is "Pisum sativum (pea) long non-coding RNA (PSAT_LNC021241)". Lineage: Eukaryota; Viridiplantae; Streptophyta; Magnoliopsida; Fabales; Fabaceae. The record is from RNAcentral.